GGGGACCGCCGGACAGUUCGUGAGGUGUUGGCCCUCUCUAAAGCCAACUCCACGGGGCUUGUUUUUCUGUCGGAAACAAGACAGGCCUCUUCAAAGAUGGAGAAACUGAGGUGGAGAUUGCAGAUGAAGGGUUUUGCUGGCGUGUCGAGUGACGACCUUAGUGGAGGCCUUGCACUCUUUUGGGAUGAGAAGUUGCAAGUGACGGUGCUGGAUUCUUGUGCACGGUACAUUGACGUGCGGAUUGUAGAUGUGGCAAAUGAUAAAAGUUGGAGAACGACGUUUGUAUAUGGGGAACCCCGAGUUGAAAACCGUCAUCUCAUGUGGAGGUCUCUUUCCCAGCUCCAUGCGGUUUCGUCAGAUCCGUGGUUAGUGUGUGGAGACUUUAAUGAGGCAAUGUGGCAGCACGAGCAUAUGUCUAGAGCCCAGCGCUCUGAAAAUCAGAUGGAGUUAUUCCGGGACUGUUUGUUGGCAUGCGAAUUAUGGGACCUCGGUUUCUCGGGGUAUCCAUUUACAUAUGAUAAUGGGCAGAUUGGAGAGAGGAACGUGCGAGUUCGCCUUGAUUGA
Molecule: ribosomal RNA, 564 nt
Filed under: Triticum aestivum (bread wheat)
Lineage: Eukaryota; Viridiplantae; Streptophyta; Magnoliopsida; Poales; Poaceae
Description: partial small subunit ribosomal RNA
Source: RNAcentral